UAACGAGUUUUGAACGGAGCUGUUCUGGUCUUUCGGGGCAAGUGAACGCUUCACUCAAUCCACCUUACACCUGUGCACCUUCGGGGAAAACGGAAGGAUUCNAAGUUGGACAACGACGACCAUCCUAAUGUUUUCUCUUCUACACACAUCACAGUCUAUAGAAAGUCUUAUUUGCUUGACGCAAAUUUAAAUGUAAUACAACUUUCAGCAACGGAUCUCUUGGCUCUCGCAUCGAUGAAGAACGCAGCGAAAUGCGAUAAGUAAUGUGAAUUGCAGAAUUCAGUGAAUCAUCGAAUCUUUGAACGCACCUUGCACUCCUUGGUAUUCCGAGGAGUAUGCCUGUUUGAGUGUCAUGAAAUUCUCAACUUCAUAGUUUUAUUACUUGUGAAGCUUGGAUUUGGAAGCCUGCUGGCGUAAGUCGGCUCUUCUCAAAUGUAUUAGCUGCUUGUCCGUGAGUUGGCUCAGAGUGUGAUAAGUAUCUACACUUGGUGGCUGCUCGCUUGGAUGUGGCUUCUAAUCGUCUUCGGACAAUUAUCUUAAGAUCUGACCUCAAAUCAGGUAGGACUACCCGCUGAACUUAAGCAUAUCAAUAAGCGGAGGAAAAGAAACUAACAAGGAUUCCCCUAGUAACGGCGAGUGAAGCGGGAAAAGCUCAAAUUUAAAAUCUGGCUGUCUUAGGCGGUCCGAGUUGUAAUUUGGAGAAGUGUUUUCUGCGCUGGACCAUGCACAAGUCUCUUGGAACAGAGCGUCAUAGAGGGUGAGAAUCCCGUCUUUGGCAUGGGCUACCAGGGCUAUAUGAUACACUCUCGAAGAGUCGAGUUGUUUGGGAAUGCAGCUCAAAAUGGGUGGUAAAUUCCAUCUAAAGCUAAAUACAGGCGAGAGACCGAUAGCGAACAAGUACCGUGAGGGAAAGAUGAAAAGAACUUUGGAAAGAGAGUUAAACAGUACGUGAAAUUGCUGAAAGGGAAACGCUUGAAGUCAGUCGCGUUGGUUGAGACUCAGCCUUGCUUUUGCUUGGUGCAUUUCUUGACUGACGGGUCAACAUCAAUUUUGGUCAUUGGAAAAAGGCGGGGGGAAUGUGGCUCCUCCGGGAGUGUUAUAGCCCUCAGUUGUAUACAAUGGCUGGGAUUGAGGACCGCAGUGCGCCUUCAUGGUCGGGGUUCGCCCUCGUUCGCACUUAGGAUGUUGGCAUAAUGGCUUUAAGCGACCCGUCUUGAAACACGGACCAAGGAGUCUAACAUGCAUGCGAGUGUUUGGGUGGAAAACCCGAGCGCGCAAUGAAAGUGAAAGUUGAGACCCCUGUCGCGGGGGGCAUCGACGCCCGGACCAGAUGUUUACUGACGGCUCUGCGGUUGAGCAUGUAUGUUGGGACCCGAAAGAUGGUGAACUAUGCCUGAAUAGGGCGAAGCCAGAGGAAACUCUGGUGGAGGCUCGUAGCGAUUCUGA
Molecule: ribosomal RNA, 1446 nt
Filed under: uncultured Polyporales
Lineage: Eukaryota; Fungi; Basidiomycota; Agaricomycetes; Polyporales
Description: eukaryotic LSU rRNA
Rfam family: Eukaryotic large subunit ribosomal RNA (bases 545-1446)
Source: RNAcentral